This 468-nucleotide ribosomal RNA is filed under the name uncultured bacterium. Its description in RNAcentral is "partial 16S ribosomal RNA". It matches the Rfam family "Bacterial small subunit ribosomal RNA", at positions 28 to 507 of the family's 1533-position model. The record is from RNAcentral.
GACGAACGCUGGCGGCGUGCUUAACACAUGCAAGUCGAACGGAAAGGCCCUGCUUUUGUGGGGUGCUCGAGUGGCGAACGGGUGAGUAACACGUGAGUAACCUGCCCUUGACUUUGGGAUAACUUCAGGAAACUGGGGCUAAUACCGGAUAGGAGCUCCUGCUGCAUGGUGGGGGUUGGAAAGUUUCGGCGGUUGGGGAUGGACUCGCGGCUUAUCAGCUUGUUGGUGGGGUAGUGGCUUACCAAGGCUUUGACGGGUAGCCGGCCUGGGGGGGUGACCGGGCCACAUGGGACCGGGGAUACGGCCCGGACUCUUCCGGGAGCAAGCGGUGGGAAUAAUUGCACAAUGGGCGGAAGCCUGAUGCGCCACCGCGGGGUGCGGGAGGACGGCCUUGGGGUUGUAACCGGCUUUCGCUUGGGCCGAGCCGUAGGUACCGUAAUUGGGUAAGGAGGAACGGCUAACUUACUU